This 5315-nucleotide unclassified non-coding RNA is filed under the name Venturia canescens. RNAcentral describes it as "dynamin, transcript variant X11". Lineage: Eukaryota; Metazoa; Arthropoda; Insecta; Hymenoptera; Ichneumonidae. The record is from RNAcentral.
ACACGAUCAAAUAAAGAUCGCAAGCAUUUGCGUUUCUAUAUCGUGUAGUAGGUGUACUUUAGGUUGCUUUAGCUACCCCUACCGUCGAUAGGAGGUGGUGGCAGUUCGGUGUUGCCCACGGGACGCAACGGUCGCGAGAAUUUCGAUAUAAUAGCAAGAAAGGACGAAUAGAGAGAAAAGAAAAGAAAAACUCCUCGUCCCGUGUGUCGUCCGCGGGUCGAUGCGUGCGUGGAAGUGAGAUCGCGAAAAAAAACAAAAUUACAAAAUAAUAAUAGAAGUUCGAAAAACACGCACAUUUUCCGAGGCUCAGCCCCGGUGACAAAAAACAGUGAAUAUAAAGAAACCCGUUAAAAAUGGCAGGAAAUACGGGAAUGGAGCAGUUGAUCCCGAUCGUUAACAAACUCCAGGAUGCAUUCACCCAGCUUGGUGUGGCUAUGCAACUCGAUCUUCCACAGAUCGCUGUUGUGGGCGGUCAGAGUGCGGGAAAGAGUUCCGUACUCGAGAAUUUCGUUGGCAAGGACUUCUUGCCUCGAGGUUCAGGCAUCGUUACCAGAAGACCACUCAUUCUACAGCUAAUCAACAGCAUCAGUGAAUCCGCCGAAUUUCUACACUGCAAAGGCAAAAAAUUCGUGGAUUUCGACGAAGUCAGGAAGGAAAUAGAAGCGGAGACGGAUCGCGUGACCGGAAGCAACAAAGGGAUAUCCAACGUGCCCAUAAAUUUGAGGGUAUAUUCGCCCAACGUUCUGAAUCUGACUUUGAUCGAUUUGCCCGGACUGACGAAGGUCCCGAUUGGCGAUCAGCCGGCUGACAUUGAGGCGCAGAUCAAAGGAAUGAUAUUUCAAUUUAUCAAGAAAGAGAAUUGCCUCAUAUUGGCUGUAACCCCGGCUAAUACUGAUCUCGCCAACAGCGAUGCACUCAAGCUUGCCAAGGAAGUUGAUCCACAGGGCGUACGUACCAUUGGCGUCAUCACCAAACUUGAUCUUAUGGAUGAUGGUACCGAUGCUAGAGACAUUUUAGAAAAUAAGUUGCUUCCUCUACGCAGGGGCUACAUAGGCGUAGUUAACAGAAGCCAGAGAGACAUCGAAGGUCGUAAAGACAUCAAAAACGCUUUGGCAGCUGAACGAAAGUUCUUCCUCAGUCAUCCGUCGUAUCGGCAUAUAGCAGACAGACUUGGAACACCGUAUUUACAACGUGUACUCAAUCAGCAACUAACCAAUCACAUACGAGACACACUGCCGGCUCUUCGUGACAGAUUACAGAAACAGCUGUUAACCCUUGAGAAAGAUGUCGAACAGUACAAACAUUUCAGGCCUGAUGAUCCGGCGAUCAAGACUAAAGCGAUGUUACAGAUGAUCCAGUCACUGCAAUCGGACUUUGAACGAACGAUCGAGGGCUCAGGAUCCGCUCAAAUAAACACAAACGAACUCAGCGGUGGUGCAAAAAUCAAUCGAUUGUUUCACGAACGUUUCCCUUUCGAGAUCGUCAAAAUGGAGUUCGACGAGAAAGAAUUACGGAGAGAAAUUGCUUUCGCAAUCAGGAACAUUCAUGGUAUCAGGGUUGGUUUAUUCACUCCUGAUAUGGCGUUCGAGGCCAUAGUUAAGAAACAAAUAAAUCGGCUUAAAGAGCCGAGUCUCAAAUGUGUGGACCUAGUCGUACAGGAAUUAAGCAACGUCGUUCGUAUUUGUACAGAUCGAAUGUCACGUUACCCUAGAUUAAGAGAAGAGACUGAGCGUAUAAUAACGACAUACGUUAGACAGCGUGAACAAAUGUGCAAAGAACAACUGGUACUAUUGGUUGACUGCGAGCUCGCUUACAUGAACACGAAUCACGAAGAUUUCAUUGGUUUUGCCAACGCGGCGGCCAGUUGCCAUAAUGCAAGCGCCCAGCAGUCCUCGGAAAACGCCGUCAAGGCUGGACGUCACACCCUUGGUAAUCAGGUCAUUCGUAAAGGCUACAUGUGCAUACACAAUUUGGGUAUUAUGAAGGGAGGCUCUCGCGAUUACUGGUUUGUCCUUACCUCCGAAAGCAUCUCUUGGUUCAAAGAUGAAGAGGAACGUGAGAAGAAGUACAUGUUACCACUGGACGGUUUGAAGCUUCGCGAUCUCGAGCAGGGUUUCAUGUCGAGACGACACUUGUUUGCACUUUUCAAUCCUGAAGGCCGAAACGUGUACAAAGAUUACAAGCAACUCGAGCUCAGUUGCGAAACACAAGACGACGUUGAUUCGUGGAAAGCUUCGUUCCUCAGAGCCGGUGUAUAUCCGGAAAAAUCCACGGAGCAGGCGAAUGGUGAAGGCGAGGAUAAGCAGCGGGAAGGAUAUCAGGGCGGCAAUGAAGGCCAAUCCUCGAUGGACCCUCAGUUGGAACGCCAAGUCGAAACGAUAAGAAACCUCGUUGAUUCUUACAUGAAGAUCGUGACGAAAACUACUCGCGACCUUGUUCCAAAGACUAUCAUGCAUCUGAUCAUAAAUAAUGCCAAGGACUUCAUCAAUGGUGAGCUUUUGGCUCAUCUGUACGCGAGUGGUGAUCAGUCGAGCAUGAUGGAAGAAUCGCCGGAAGAGGCCCAGAAACGCGAAGAAAUGUUGCGAAUGUAUCACGCCUGCAAAGAAGCUCUCCGAAUAAUCGGUGACGUAUCGAUGGCUACAGUCUCAACGCCAGUUCCUCCACCAGUGAAAAACGACUGGUUAGCGUCGGGUGAAAAUCCAAGUCUUGGACUAUCACCACCGUCUCCGGGCGGCGGAAGACGAGGGAUGUCUCAACCACCGCCACCAGCGAGCUCCCGAGCACCACCACCAGUCCCGGCUGGUGGAAGACCGGCUCCGGCCAUUCCAAACCGACCAGGACCCGGCGGACCGCCACCGGCACGGGGCACCCCGGGCCUUCCCCCUCCUCUCAUCCCAUCGCGCCGACAAUAAGUCUUCGCACUAACCACAUAAAGAAAAACACAUAAAUACAUACAUACAAUGAUAGGGAAAGACAAAAAGACAUUGAACGCGAAAAGCACUCACACAUAACUAUCCUUUCGCUAACUAAUCGGUAUAUACGUUGUCCUAAUUAACAUACUUAGAGUUCGACGUGGUUCGCUAACAAUUGUAUAUCGUCUCACUUUAACUAUCUCCUGUCUCUUAUCCCCUCUAUUAUCUCUAUUUCGAACUAUCGAUUUAUCUGGCACGCCCCCGAAAGCCUAUAUACGAUGAGAUAUUGUUGAUUAUGAUCUAGAUACAUACAUAUAUAUAUGUACACACGUUUCUAUUGUAAGUAGAUAAUGGUACGAAGCAUUUUUAGCAUCAAUCUAGAGGGAUUUCAUUUAUCAAGUUUCCUUUCAAAAUUUGAAACUCGAUGCAAAAACAAAAUUCGCUCAUUCUUCAUCGAUGCUUGUGCUACUGUCCGUCAUAAUAAUUCACACAUUAUAAUGAUGAGGUCCAAUUAUAAUUGCUAACAAUGAUUCGAAUGAAAAAAUUGAGUAAAUUUGUACAGGGGUUCUUGCAAUUAACAUUUUGUUUUAACGAGGAAUCUGUCCUCUAUUUGUUUUUAAUUUAAACAAUCGUUAUCCGGAUAUUGAGGAAAGAAAAAUUUGUACACGAAUUUUCACGGUGAAACUCUGUAACGCCUGGUGUACGCAAUGUUGUACAUGGUAAAAUGUAUAUAAUGAUGAAAAAAAAAGUAUCGAACAAAUUGUGCUGUUGCAGUUAUCGCGAUAAUGAGAAAUUGGGAGAGAAUAAUCAAUUUAUUUGAAUGUUGUUUCCGAAAAGCGCUCACUAACAGCAUGACAUUUCAGAAUUUAUCAAAAUACUUGAGCAUUGUUAAAAUAUUUGAAAAAGGAAACCUGAGCAUCGCUUCCAUGCUUCGUCAUUCACUGUGGUAAACUACUCAGUUUCUGAACUCAAAGGAAUUUUUAUUCUAUUCAAGACUUUUUAAUAGCAACAAUGUUAUUCGUUCAAUUUUGUAACAAGAUUAAAUAUGACGUGAUUGUGUACAUAGAAAAGUAGGACUUUUGUGUAUUUUAUUUCCAUGAUUAAAUUGCUUCCAUCGAAGGAAUAAAUUUCGUUCUGGUAAAGUUCAGACACUCGGUCGUUUAUCAUCAUAUUUUUGUUUCAUCAAAGGUGUCACGGUGGUUCGAAAACAUUCAUUGUUAAAAGUCAUCAAAAGUUUAAUUGGGAGAGAUGGGAAAAAGGGAUCAUGAAUUACGAAUUUGAUCAAAGCAACCAAUAACAAGUGUCAAAAAUCCCAGCCGAACGCUUCUAUUUUUGUCCUCCUCGAUUGUUCGCUCAUUGCCAAGAUGACAAACAAUUUUCAGUAUCCAAUUCCAUUUAUAAUGAAUAUUUACAAAUUUGUUCUUGACAAUAGCUCGUUGAGCAUAAUUUUUUCCAUGAUUUCCCGCCGUUUUAAUUCACUUUUCUCAAAAUCAAACUCCUGAUGGCAGGUGAAAAUAAAAAAACAACAGAUAAAAAUGUACGAAAUUUGUCGGUGCCUGCUACAAAAAUUAGGAGUUGAUUCAGCCAAGCUCGUCAUGCCUGUUCGCUUCUAUGAGUAAAAUGAGUCUUGACGCUGUUUUGUCGUCUGAAAUUGUGUUUAGAAAUUUUUUUAAGGACUUAAUCAAUUCAAUACCAUCCAAGUUUGUUUCUUAACGUUUUUGCAAAGGUAUACAUUUACACUGAUUUCACCAAAACGUGCCAAUUUAUGAAUCGAAAAAUCCGUUAAAAUUAACACAAACGAAAAGUAAAUAUGUGUGAAAAAUGCCAGAAAGAAGAAUCCCGGGGAUCUUUUUGAACGAAUUUCAUCCUGAAAAUCACCUCCAGAAACAUCAUUUCAGACAACAAUUGGCUGUCAAUACGCCAUUGAUUAAAAAACAUCGAAUAUUAUUGAUAAAAAUGCGGACCUAACCUGUGCAGAGCCUAAUUUCGUACGUGCCGAUUUGUUAUGCUUACAAAUCGAAAUAAUAGCUACACGAAUACUGUUGUUAUUAUUAUUCUUACUAUCGUAGAUGUAAAAUGAUUAAAUAAGAUGAUAAAUUGACAUGAAACGCUGAAGAAGCAAAAACACAACUAAAUUGUUGAGAUAAUUGGUAAAAUCUGAGUGUAUACGUGGUAUGUUUAGUCGUGGGGGUGCAAUUCAGCAGAGAGUGACGCAGGCAGCGACACAGGCCGCCGUAAAUGCCGCCACGCACGAGCUCAUGGAUGUAUUCAGGAUGAAGCGCCCCGUACCCAAUGUUCCUCCCCGAAUUCCCGACAGACCGUAUUCCGGCCGACUAAACUGAGCUAGCACACACCGCACCUAGCUUGCCUGCCUGAAAAAAAAAACGAAUCAAAAAAACAAAC